Molecule: ribosomal RNA, 449 nt
Filed under: uncultured bacterium
Lineage: Bacteria
Description: partial 16S ribosomal RNA
Rfam family: Bacterial small subunit ribosomal RNA
Source: RNAcentral
AACGAACGCUGGCGGCAUGCCUAACACAUGCAAGUCGAACGAGAUCUUCGGGUCUAGUGGCGCACGGGUGCGUAACGCGUGGGAAUCUGCCCUUUGGUUCGGAAUAACAGUUGGAAACGACUGCUAAUACCGGAUGAUGACGAAAGUCCAAAGAUUUAUCGCCAGAGGAUGAGCCCGCGUAGGAUUAGCUAGUUGGUGUGGUAAAGGCGCACCAAGGCGACGAUCCUUAGCUGGUCUGAGAGGAUGAUCAGCCACACUGGGACUGAGACACGGCCCAGACUCCUACGGGAGGCAACAGUGGGGAAUAUUGGACAAUGGGCGAAAGCCUAAUCCAGCAAUGCCGCGUGAGUGAUGAAGGCCUUAGGGUUGUAAAGCUCUUUUACCCGGGAUGGUAAUGACAGUACCGGGAGAAUAAGCUCCGGCUAACUCCGUGCCAGCCGCCGCGGUAA